GACGAACGCUGGCGGCGUGCCUAAUACAUGCAAGUUGAGCGCUGAAGGUUGGUACUUGUACCCACUGGAUGAGCAGCGAACGGGUGAGUAACGCGUGGGGAAUCUGCCUUUGAGCGGGGGACAACAUUUGGAAACGAAUGCUAAUACCGCAUAAAAACUUUAAACACAAGUUUUAAGUUUGAAAGAUGCAAUUGCAUCACUCAAAGAUGAUCCCGCGUUGUAUUAGCUAGUUGGUGAGGUAAAGGCUCACCAAGGCGAUGAUACAUAGCCGACCUGAGAGGGUGAUCGGCCACAUUGGGACUGAGACACGGCCCAAACUCCUACGGGAGGCAGCAGUAGGGAAUCUUCGGCAAUGGACGAAAGUCUGACCGAGCAACGCCGCGUGAGUGAAGAAGGUUUUCGGAUCGUAAAACUCUGUUGGUAGAGAAGAACGUUGGUGAGAGUGGAAAGCUCAUUAAGGGACGGUAACUACCCAGAAAGGGACGGCUAACUACGU
This 496-nucleotide ribosomal RNA is filed under the name uncultured bacterium. RNAcentral describes it as "partial 16S ribosomal RNA". It matches the Rfam family "Bacterial small subunit ribosomal RNA", at positions 28 to 506 of the family's 1533-position model. The record is from RNAcentral.